UAAGUUAGUAGUGACCUUACCUAGGUCAGGCAGAAAGUGUGUUGCCUUAAGCCAUCACAUUUAUUUUCUUGAAUUUUAAGUUUUUGACAAUAAUCUAGUUAAUUAUAAAAGUUAAUAAUUGCUUUACAGUUUACAAAAUAAUUUGUUAAAAUCGUUUCAUCCGUUUGUGUCACGUGAUGACGUUACUUCCUGUUUUGUUACUUCCUGGUUGGUAUGUAAAAGAAUGAAGUAAACAAGGCAAGCAGAGCUGAAAACAAUCCAAGCCAAUCUGCUAAGAAAGAUCAUAGAAGCAGUGUCUUUUCACCACUCAAUGUCUUUGAAGCAGAACUAACAUACUUGUUGUCUCCUUGGAUCAAAGAGGACACCAGAUUCUCCUUCAGCUCAUCAUACUCGGACUGGAGGAUGACGUGAGCCUCCCACUCUCGCUCACAUUCCUAAAACGCACACAUGAGGGAAAAGAAGUUCAAACUCGAGUGCUUAAUGUUAACAUAUGCAAUGGUUAACUUCUG
This is a long non-coding RNA of Ictalurus punctatus (channel catfish), 509 nucleotides long. The record is from Ensembl. Lineage: Eukaryota; Metazoa; Chordata; Actinopteri; Siluriformes; Ictaluridae.